Molecule: unclassified non-coding RNA, 280 nt
Filed under: Hevea brasiliensis (rubber tree)
Lineage: Eukaryota; Viridiplantae; Streptophyta; Magnoliopsida; Malpighiales; Euphorbiaceae
Source: RNAcentral
GAAAGAAAAUCGAGCUACUUGGAUAUUAUCAGUGAGAUCAAUUAACGUAUGUGGACUUCCUAUAGCUUAUGCAGAAUCCUUUCAACUAUAGCUUGAGUGCCUCAUACAUGCUUUAGAAGGAAAAGUUGAAGUGCUUUAGAAAUAAACUGAAUUGUAUAAAACUGUAUACUCAAAUUUCAUGCCUGAAAUUAAAGACUGAAGAGCCUAAUAAUCUCAGGGAAGAUCCCUAUUUUACUUUGUUGUGCUGUUUUAUUGUAGGAUGUAGCUGAUACAAUGGCCU